This 1360-nucleotide unclassified non-coding RNA is filed under the name Hevea brasiliensis (rubber tree). The record is from RNAcentral. Lineage: Eukaryota; Viridiplantae; Streptophyta; Magnoliopsida; Malpighiales; Euphorbiaceae.
AGCACUCAACAAAACUACAAUGCCUCUCCAGUCCUACAUCAAUUAUAUACAAACAAAACAAUGACAAUAUUGACUCCGAUUCACUAUAAAUUUGUAGGUAAAUUUAAUUUACCGUCAGUUUAGAAAAUGAUUUGGUGCAAACAUAUGCACCGUGCACACGAGUUAAUAACCAUCCGAUCAAGUAUAUUUACUUUAUCAAACGGUUAUUAAUGUGUGAACACUAAGUUCCCUAAUAAUUUUAUUGCUUUUAUAGGUAUGAGUUAGAGCCUGGAGUAGCUAAAGCAAAUUCCAAGCGAUAACAAUCGCAACCUUGCUGGCUAGAGUCAUGAGGGGAAAGUGAGAAGGGGGAUUCAAACUAAACCUAUCCUUAAAAGGGAAAUUGAUCGACUAAAUUAUGCCUUGGCAAUACAAGCCUUCAUAACUCAAUAACUGAUGUAAAGCUCCACCAAAAUAGCCAACUCAACUAUCAACAACCAUUGUCUAGUGGCUUUGAGAACAAUAUCUUGCCUGCUUAAACCAUAAACAUGGUAAUUUCAUUUGACAUUUCAUCUACACUUGGGUGUCGAUGCUUCAAUGUCCAGAACGAAAACUUGCAGAAGGUUGCAGCCUUUCAAGAGCCCAAGGGCACAUUUUAUAAGGACAUUGAGAUUAAAUUCAGAUGACUUUUGUUUUAUCAGUGUAAUAAUUGCUCUUGGAGACAAUUCAGUAGUUGAUAUAUGUACAACAAGACCCUUUGUCUUGUAACAAUCCAUACACAAAAUAAUGGCAUUCCCUUGUAUAUGUACCCAACUAUUUCUACUUGCCAUACCUUUCACGACUCAUCAGGCUUUGGCUCAAGUAUUACUGGAAUCUUCUCCUUGUGAUCCCCACGCAACACCUCCACAAUCACCUGAAUAUCAUAAUAGCUCAAUAUAAUACAAUAUAAGAAGAGUUGUUUAUCACAAGACUACUUCCCCCAGUCGAAGUAUUGCAAGCAAACAAAAAUAAUAUCUAAGAUCAAGCUUCGGAUGGUGAUGACUAGAGGGCCACAGGCCGGUUCCAGUUUGUGGAGGGGACAACCCUGAAUCGGACCUCAUGGGGCCAGUUCUGAUUAGGUUUGGUCCAGUUAAAUUAGGCUGAGCUUGAAAUCUUUUUUAAACAAGCAGGUUCAAACCGGAACGGUCUGCUGAUUCUGGUCCAAUCCGAUCCCAAGGGAGGGACCAGGACUAACUCUACCGCAACACAGUUUUGUUUUAGUUCAGACACAAACUGGACCUUAUCCAUGUUUACCAAUAAUAUUCAGAAAAAUAAAAAAAUUCACCAGAAUGAAAAGUUCACAUAUCCGAUGAGAGUAUGGACACCAGAGAGAGAGAGAGAGAGA